RNAcentral lists this ribosomal RNA (1252 nucleotides) under Vibrio parahaemolyticus. RNAcentral's name for it is "partial 23S ribosomal RNA". It matches the Rfam family "Bacterial large subunit ribosomal RNA", at positions 1714 to 2925 of the family's 2925-position model. The record is from RNAcentral. Lineage: Bacteria; Pseudomonadati; Pseudomonadota; Gammaproteobacteria; Vibrionales; Vibrionaceae.
UAGGCAAAAUGGUACCGUAACUUCGGGAGAAGGUACGCUCUUGAUGGUGAAGUCCCUUGCGGAUGGAGCUGACGAGAGUCGCAGAUACCAGGUGGCUGCAACUGUUUAUUAAAAACACAGCACUGUGCAAAAUCGUAAGAUGACGUAUACGGUGUGACGCCUGCCCGGUGCCGGAAGGUUAAUUGAUGGGGUUAGACUUCGGUCGAAGCUCUUGAUCGAAGCCCCGGUAAACGGCGGCCGUAACUAUAACGGUCCUAAGGUAGCGAAAUUCCUUGUCGGGUAAGUUCCGACCUGCACGAAUGGCGUAAUGAUGGCCACGCUGUCUCCACCCGAGACUCAGUGAAAUUGAAAUCGCUGUGAAGAUGCAGUGUACCCGCGGCUAGACGGAAAGACCCCGUGAACCUUUACUACAGCUUGGCACUGAACAUUGACCCUACAUGUGUAGGAUAGGUGGGAGGCUUUGAAGCACGUACGCCAGUAUGUGUGGAGCCGUCCUUGAAAUACCACCCUUGUAGUGUUGAUGUUCUAACGUCGACCCCUUAUCGGGGUUGCGGACAGUGCCUGGUGGGUAGUUUGACUGGGGCGGUCUCCUCCCAAAGAGUAACGGAGGAGCACGAAGGUGGGCUAAUCACGGUUGGACAUCGUGAGGUUAGUGCAAUGGCAUAAGCCCGCUUGACUGCGAGAAUGACAAUUCGAGCAGGUGCGAAAGCAGGUCAUAGUGAUCCGGUGGUUCUGAAUGGAAGGGCCAUCGCUCAACGGAUAAAAGGUACUCCGGGGAUAACAGGCUGAUACCGCCCAAGAGUUCAUAUCGACGGCGGUGUUUGGCACCUCGAUGUCGGCUCAUCACAUCCUGGGGCUGAAGUCGGUCCCAAGGGUAUGGCUGUUCGCCAUUUAAAGUGGUACGCGAGCUGGGUUUAGAACGUCGUGAGACAGUUCGGUCCCUAUCUGCCGUGGGCGUUGGAAGAUUGAAGGGGGCUGCUCCUAGUACGAGAGGACCGGAGUGGACGAACCUCUGGUGUUCGGGUUGUGUCGCCAGACGCAUUGCCCGGUAGCUAAGUUCGGAAUCGAUAACCGCUGAAAGCAUCUAAGCGGGAAGCGAGCCCUGAGAUGAGUCUUCCCUGAUACUUUAAGUAUCCUAAAGGGUUGUCGGAGACUACGACGUUGAUAGGUCAGGUGUGUAAGUGCUGUGAGGCAUUGAGCUAACUGAUACUAAUUGCCCGUGAGGCUUAACCAUACAACACCCAAGGGGUUU